This is a long non-coding RNA of Nilaparvata lugens (brown planthopper), 1116 nucleotides long. RefSeq lists it as uncharacterized. The transcript is spliced from 3 exons. The record is from RefSeq and is a predicted model, not a curated record. NCBI's taxonomy places the organism in Eukaryota, Metazoa, Arthropoda, Insecta, Hemiptera, Delphacidae.
AACAGAUAACAGAGUUUUGAAAAUUUGCAUAAUAAUUAUGUACAUGACUAUUAUUUUAUAAACCACUAUAAUUUUAAUUCGUGUUUUUACUGUUGGUUAUGGUAUUAGUUAUAAAAUGAAGUAGCAAUAAUGUAGCAUACCUAAUAAAAAAAUCUUUAUUAUAACAAGAAAGAAACUGACUUAUAUGUUGAUAACAAUAGCAUUAGGCUACUACUGCCCAUAUCGUACCUAUAUUUUGAGUUUUCUGUGGAGAACGAAUGGCUCAAGUUAAUGAAGCUAAUGAAAUAUCAAGAACCUACCAAAAAUAAAAAUGCCAUUUAUGUCUGCCUGUCACCACAUAGAAAGCUUUCCGAAAAUCACAACUCCUUGGUAAGUAGUUCCUCACUUUACUUGAUUAUUGGUUUAUAUAGUGUCCCAAAAAGGAUGUUAAGUUUUUAGAAUUACUGUGAAGGUAGUGAUUUCAAUGUUUUAAUGUUUCUACACAUCCAAGUCUCUAUUGUUCAAUUAGAUUAUCAUAUUGUCCAAAUUAGUCUCACGUUUAUUGUCCAAUUGAGGAUACAUCAUAAUUAAGAGAUAUAUUAGGGUGAAGAGUUCUGACUGAGGCCUAUAGCUGAAUUAUGCCACCUGAUUGAACGUCUGGCACUUUGAAGCACUGAUAUGUUAAAAGUCUGAAGUCACUAUGUUAAACGUACAUACUGCAUCAGAAUAAGUGCUUGACUUUCAAUUCAGUGGUUUUAUUCAGCUUGAGACCUUGGUUACAGCUUUUUUCAAUAAAACCUCUCAAAUUACCUAGUUAAAUAAGAUGUUCUCUUGAAUUGGAUAAUUUGACAUACUCGGAAAUGUAAAAAUAUCAAUGUUGUUACAAUUGAAUUGUUUAAAUUAAUUUGCAUUUUAUAUUAUUUGUAAAAAUAUAUUGGAAUUUACAGUUUCAAGAAGUUUUAUCGAUCAUCUGCAUUUCUUCACGUGAAUAACAAACGAAGGCACGCUACACUACUGCAAAUAAGUAUUUUACAGAUAUCAAAGAAAGCGGUGAAAAGAAUGAAGUUUUUGAUCCUUGAGGUGUCCUUAUGCGCGUCUCUCCUCUAGGAAAUACUGGAAUGAAGUGCAUCUAACGUG